GCCGAAUUGUGUAGUGGUUAGUGACCCUGAUUGCUAUGCAGAAGGUCCCGGGUUCGAUUCCCGGCUGGGGCA
Molecule: transfer RNA, 72 nt
Filed under: Plutella xylostella (diamondback moth)
Lineage: Eukaryota; Metazoa; Arthropoda; Insecta; Lepidoptera; Plutellidae
Description: tRNA-Ser
Source: RNAcentral